UACGUAGGGAGCAAGCGUUGUCCGGAAUCAUUGGGCGUAAAGCGCGCGUAGGAGGCCCGGUAAGUCCGUUGUAAAAGUCGAAGGCUCAACCUUCGAAAGCCGAUGGAUACUGCCGGGCUAGAGUUCGGAAGAGGCGAGUGGAAUUCCUGGUGUAGCGGUGGAAUGCGCAGAUAUCUGGAGGAACACCGGUGGCGAAGGCGGCAUCCUGGACCAAUUCUGACGCUGAGUGAGCGAAAGCCAGGGGAGCAAACGGG
Molecule: ribosomal RNA, 254 nt
Filed under: uncultured bacterium
Lineage: Bacteria
Description: partial 16S ribosomal RNA
Rfam family: Bacterial small subunit ribosomal RNA
Source: RNAcentral